RNAcentral lists this ribosomal RNA (1767 nucleotides) under Trypanedenta gigantea. Its description in RNAcentral is "SSU rRNA". It matches the Rfam family "Eukaryotic small subunit ribosomal RNA". The record is from RNAcentral. Lineage: Eukaryota; Metazoa; Annelida; Polychaeta; Phyllodocida; Syllidae.
AACCGCCUUUGGCUAACUGUAGUAAUUCUAGAGCUAAUACAUGCACGAACAUGCGCCGAUCCUUCCCUGGAGAGGCGUGCUUUUAUUAGACAGGACCUUUGCUCGGGAGUAACUCCCCGUCGGCAACCCGUGUUGACUCUGGAUAACUUAGCGGAUCGCACUGGGGCUUCGACCCCGGCGACACACCAUUCAAGUGUCUGACCCAUCAGCUGGUCGGCCGGAGCUGUGCCGGCCGAGGACGUAACGGGUAACAGAGAAUUAGGGUUCGAUUCUGGAGAGGGAGCCUGAGAAACGGCUACCACUUCCAAGGAAGGCAGCAGGCGCGCAAAUUACCCACUCCCGACACGGGGAGGUAGUGACGAGAAAUAGCGGUAGGCGACUCAAUGAGGCUGCCUUACUGGAAUGAGUAGAGUUCAAAGCCUUCCACGAGGACCUAGUCGAGGGCAAGUCUGGUGCCAGCAGCCGCGGUAACUCCAGCUCGACUAGCAUAUACGAAAGUUGUUGCAGUUAAAACGCUCGUAGUUGGUCUUCAACUUGGGCAGUGUUUACGGGACGGGCCCGUGGUCAUGUCGCCGGGGCUGUCGGGUUUACGGCGGGAUUUUGUCGCGGCGGGCUUCCCCCUAUCGUUGGGUUUGGUGCGCCCGCCCUCUCGUCCAGUUUACUUUGAAAAAAUUAGGGUGUUCAAGGCAGGACAAUACAGCCUGCAUAAUGAUGCAUGGAAUAAUGGAAAAGACUCUGGUUCUUUUUUGCUGGUCUCGAGAUUCUUAGAGUCAUGAUUAAAAGGGACGGACGAGGGCGAAAGUACUCCGGCGUGAGAGGUGAAAUUCUUGGACCGCUAGAAGACUCACUCCUGCGAAAGCAUUCGCCUAGAACGUUUUCGUUAAUCAAGAACGAAAGUUUGGGUAGCGAAGACGAUCAGAUACCGUCUUAGUCCGGACCUUAAACUAUGCCGACAGGCGAUCGGCCGUAAGCAACUCGCUAAACCCUUUUCUUGGCACGGCCGGCAGCCCUCGGGAAACUAAAGUAUUUGGGUUCCGGGGGAAGUAUGGUUGCAAAGCUGAAACUUAAAGGAAUUGACGGAAGGGCACCACCAGGAGUGGAGCUUGCGGCUUAAUUUGACUCAACACGGGGCAACUCACCCGGGCCCGACACCGUUAGGAUUGACAGAUUGAGAGCUCUUUCUUGAUUCGGUGGGUGGUGGUGCAUGGCCGUUCUUAGUUCGUGGAGCGAUCUGUCAGGUUAAUUCCGCUAACGGACGAGACUCUAGCCUAUUAACUAGAUGUGGCGGUGAUAAUGAGCCGUCAAGCAAAUGGCAAACUUCUUAGGGGGACGGGCGGUGUGGUAACCGCAGGAGGAAGAGCAAUAACAGGUCUGUGAUGCCCUUAGAUGUUCGGGGCCGCACGCGCGCUACACUGAAAGAGACACCGAGGUUGCUCGCAAGGAACCGGGUCCGCCAGGGCCCUAGGAAAACACUUAGCCUCUCUCGUGCUAGGGAUUAGGGUUUGAAACUGUCGCCUAUGAACGAGGAAUUCCGAGUAAGCGCGAGUCACCAGCUUGCGUUGAUCAAGUCCCUGCCCUUUGUACACACCGCCCGUCGCUACCACCGAGCUAGUGGCUUAGUAAGGCUGUUGGAUGCGUCCUGGGGGCUCAGGCGUGGGCGGGGCUGGGCUAGUCUUCCCUUCGCGGGGGAGGCGGGCUCUCCCCGUUUCACUUUGCCGGCUUCAACGUGGAGCGCCUAAGGCAGUCAAACUUGACCGCUUCGAGGAG